UGGGGAAUAUUGCGCAAUGGGCGAAAGCCUGACGCAGCGACGCCGCGUGAGGGAUGAAGGUUUUCGGAUCGUAAACCUCUGUCAGAAGGGAAGAAACCGCACUGUGCUAAUCAGCAGUGCCUUGACGGUACCUUCAAAGGAAGCACCGGCUAACUCCGUGCCAGCAGCCGCGGUAAUACGGAGGGUGCAAGCGUUAAUCGGAAUUACUGGGCGUAAAGCGCACGUAGGCUGCUUUGUAAGUCAGGGGUGAAAUCCCACGGCUCAACCGUGGAACUGCCUUUGAUACUGCUUAGCUUGAAUUCGGGGGAGGGAUGCGGAAUUCCAGGUAUAGGGGUGAAAUCCGAAGAUAUCUGGGGGAAAAUCAGUGGCGGAGGCGGCCACCUGGACCGGGAUUGACGCUGAGGUGCGAAAGCGUGGGGAGCAAACAGG
This 429-nucleotide ribosomal RNA is filed under the name Fusobacteriota bacterium. Its description in RNAcentral is "Fusobacteria bacterium partial 16S ribosomal RNA". It matches the Rfam family "Bacterial small subunit ribosomal RNA", at positions 355 to 776 of the family's 1533-position model. Lineage: Bacteria; Fusobacteriati; Fusobacteriota. The record is from RNAcentral.